Non-coding RNA from Butyrivibrio proteoclasticus, 74 nucleotides. Lineage: Bacteria; Bacillati; Bacillota; Clostridia; Lachnospirales; Lachnospiraceae. The record is from Rfam.
GAUUAUUUUUAGCAAAAUUAGAGAAAUCUAAUGACACAAAGCUAUAGGGUCCGAAAGGACAGCCAGUUGGUGGU